RNAcentral lists this ribosomal RNA (497 nucleotides) under uncultured bacterium. RNAcentral's name for it is "partial 16S ribosomal RNA". It matches the Rfam family "Bacterial small subunit ribosomal RNA", at positions 28 to 507 of the family's 1533-position model. The record is from RNAcentral.
GAUGAGCGCUGGCGGCGUGCCUAAUACAUGCAAGUCGAGCGAACAGACGAGGAGCUUGCUCCUCUGAUGUUAGCGGCGGACGGGUGAGUAACACGUGGAUAACCUACCUAUAAGACUGGGAUAACUUCGGGAAACCGGAGCUAAUACCGGAUAAUAUUUUGAACCGCAUGGUUCAAUAGUGAAAGACGGUUUUGCUGUCACUUAUAGAUGGAUCCGCGCCGCAUUAGCUAGUUGGUAAGGUAACGGCUUACCAAGGCAACGAUGCAUAGCCGACCUGAGAGGGUGAUCGGCCACACUGGAACUGAGACACGGUCCAGACGCCUACGGGAGGCAGCAGUAGGGAAUCUUCCGCAAUGGGCGAAAGCUUGACGGAGCAACGCCGCGUGAGUGAUGAAGGUCUUCGGAUCGUAAAACUCUGUUAUUAGGGAAGAACAUAUGUGUAAGUAACUAUGCACGUCUUGACGGUACCUAAUCAGAAAGCCACGGCUAACUACGUG